This 242-nucleotide long non-coding RNA is filed under the name Elaeis guineensis (African oil palm). Its description in RNAcentral is "long non-coding RNA (EGUI_LNC017174)". The record is from RNAcentral. Lineage: Eukaryota; Viridiplantae; Streptophyta; Magnoliopsida; Arecales; Arecaceae.
GUGAAGAACUUCUGCACCACAGCCACCACUGCAGUCUAGAUAAUAAACCAAUAUCAUCUGAAGAAGAGCACAGAAAAAUUGUAAGGUCUCGAGGUUUUGUCCUCGACCAUGGACCACACCACCCCCCGCACCUUGUCAACAAUCACAGCUCCAAUGAGGUUUCUAUUCUCUUGCUCCAUGACCAUCUCACUUUGCAAGGCUGACUGAAAGGUGCCACCUCCACCCAACACCAUCAUCCAUCU